RNAcentral lists this ribosomal RNA (462 nucleotides) under uncultured bacterium. RNAcentral's name for it is "partial 16S ribosomal RNA". It matches the Rfam family "Bacterial small subunit ribosomal RNA", at positions 338 to 795 of the family's 1533-position model. The record is from RNAcentral.
CCUACGGGUGGCUGCAGUGAGGAAUAUUGGUCAAUGGACGCAAGUCUGAACCAGCCAAGUAGCGUGCAGGAUGACGGCCCUCCGGGUUGUAAACUGCUUUUAGUUGGGAAUAAAAGGGGGCUCGUGAGCCCCGUAUUGUAUGUACCAUCAGAAAAACGACCGGCUAAUUCCGUGCCAGCAGCGGCGGUAAUACGGAGGGUCCGGGCGUUAGCCGGAUUUAUUGGGUGUAAAGGGAGCGUAGGCCGGCUUUUAAGUCAGCUGUGAAAGUCCGCGGCUCAACCGUGGAAUUGCAGUUGAAACUGGAGGCCUGGAGUGCACACAGGGAUGCCGGAAUUCAUGGUGUAGCGGUGAAAUGCUUAGAUAUCAUGAAGAACUCCGAUCGCGAAGGCAAGUGUCCGGGGUGCAACUGACGCUGAGGCUCGAAAGCGUGGGGAGCAAACAGGAUUAGAUACCCCAGUAGUC